This 465-nucleotide ribosomal RNA is filed under the name uncultured bacterium. Its description in RNAcentral is "partial 16S ribosomal RNA". It matches the Rfam family "Bacterial small subunit ribosomal RNA", at positions 339 to 795 of the family's 1533-position model. The record is from RNAcentral.
CUACGGGGGGCACCAGUGGUGAAUAUUGGACAAUGGGGGAAACCCUGAUCCAGCAAUGCCGCGUGUGUGAAGAAGGCCUGCGGGUUGUAAAGCACUUUCGGUUGGGAGGACUGCUUCUAGCACUAAUAUUGUUGGAAGUUGACGUUACCUUCAGAAGAAGCACCGGCUAACUCCGUGCCAGCAGUCGCGGUAAUACGGAGGGUGCAAGCGUUAAUCGGAAUUACUGGGCGUAAAGCGCGCGUAGGCGGCUAGAUCAGUCGGGUGUGAAAGCCCCGGGCUUAACCUGGGAACUGCAUCCGAUACUGUCUAGCUUGAGUACAGGAGAGGAGAGUGGAAUUCCACAUGUAGCGGUGAAAUGCGUAGAUAUGUGGAGGAACACCAAUGGCGAAGGCAGCUCUCUGGCCUGAUACUGACGCUGAGGUGCGAAAGCGUGGGGAGCAAACAGGAUUAGAUACCCGAGUAGUC